UGGGGAAUAUUGCACAAUGGGCGCAAGCCUGAUGCAGCCAUGCCGCGUGUAUGAAGAAGGCCUUCGGGUUGUAAAGUACUUUCAGCGGGGAGGAAGGGAGUAAAGUUAAUACCUUUGCUCAUUGACGUUACCCGCAGAAGAAGCACCGGCUAACUCCGUGCCAGCAGCCGCGGUAAUACGGAGGGUGCAAGCGUUAAUCGGAAUUACUGGGCGUAAAGCGCACACAGGCGGUUUGUUAAGUCAGAUGUGAAAUCCCCGGGCUCAACCUGGGAACUGCAUCUGAUACUGGCAAGCUUGAGUCUCGUAGAGGGGGGUAGAAUUCCAGGUGUAGCGGUGAAAUGCGUAGAGAUCUGGAGGAAUACCGGUGGCGAAGGCGGCCCCCUGGACGAAGACUGACGCUCAGGUGCGAAAGCGUGGGGAGCAAACA
This 427-nucleotide ribosomal RNA is filed under the name uncultured bacterium. RNAcentral describes it as "partial 16S ribosomal RNA". It matches the Rfam family "Bacterial small subunit ribosomal RNA", at positions 355 to 774 of the family's 1533-position model. The record is from RNAcentral.